UACAGAGGUCUCAAGCGUUGUUCGGAUUCAUUGGGCGUAAAGAGCGUGUAGGCGGCCCGGUAAGUCCGCUGUGAAAGUCCAGGGCUCAACCCUGGGAUGCCGGUGGAUACUGUCGGGCUCGAGUCCGGAAGAGGAGUGUGGAAUUCCUGGUGUAGCGGUGAAAUGCGCAGAUAUCAGGAGGAACACCAAUGGCGAAGGCAGCACUCUGGGACGUGACUGACGCUGAGACGCGAAAGCGUGGGGAGCAAACAGG
Molecule: ribosomal RNA, 253 nt
Filed under: uncultured bacterium
Lineage: Bacteria
Description: partial 16S ribosomal RNA
Rfam family: Bacterial small subunit ribosomal RNA
Source: RNAcentral